GACGAACGCUGGCGGCGUGCUUAACACAUGCAAGUCGAACGCUGAAGCUCAGCUUUUGUUGGGUGGAUGAGUGGCGAACGGGUGAGUAACACGUGAUUAACCUGCCUCCUUCUUUGGGAUAACGCCCGGAAACGGGUGCUAAUACUGGAUAUUCACUGGUCUUCGCAUGGGGGUUGGUGGAAAGGGUUUUUCUGGUGGGGGAUGGGCUCGCGGCCUAUCAGCUUGUUGGUGGGGUGAUGGCCUACCAAGGCUUUGACGGGUAGCCGGCCUGAGAGGGUUAACGGUCACAUUGGGACUGAGAUACGGCCCAGACUCCUGCGGGAGGCAGCAGUGGGGAAUAAUGGACAAUGGGCGAAAGACUGAUGCAGCGACGCAGCGUGAGGGAUGGAGGCCUUCGGGUUGUGAACCUCUUUCGCUAAUGGUCAAGCCGCAACAAUGGUUGUGGUGAGGGUAGUGGGUAAAGAAGCGCCGGCUAACUACGUG
RNAcentral lists this ribosomal RNA (483 nucleotides) under uncultured bacterium. RNAcentral's name for it is "partial 16S ribosomal RNA". It matches the Rfam family "Bacterial small subunit ribosomal RNA", at positions 28 to 507 of the family's 1533-position model. The record is from RNAcentral.